Octopus sinensis (East Asian common octopus) is the source of this 151-nucleotide long non-coding RNA. RefSeq lists it as uncharacterized. The transcript is spliced from 4 exons. The record is from RefSeq and is a predicted model, not a curated record. NCBI's taxonomy places the organism in Eukaryota, Metazoa, Mollusca, Cephalopoda, Octopoda, Octopodidae.
UAUUUGUUGUAAUAUAAUAUGAUAACCAGACAACAGUAACAACAAUGUAACGAACUAAUAAAUCUCUUUACGAAUCAACAAUCAAUAUUCCUUGUGAACUAACCAACCGACACCUUCCGACACAAACUUCACUCAACUCCAAACUCUGAUC